This is a small nuclear RNA of Octodon degus (degu), 108 nucleotides long. The record is from Ensembl. NCBI's taxonomy places the organism in Eukaryota, Metazoa, Chordata, Mammalia, Rodentia, Octodontidae.
UUGCUCUGUUCGGCAGCACAUAGACUAUAAAAUUGGGACGAUGCAGAGAAGAUUAGCAUGGCCCUGUGCAAGGGUGACAUCCAAAUUCGUGACGCAUUCCAUAUUUUU